RNAcentral lists this ribosomal RNA (497 nucleotides) under uncultured bacterium. Its description in RNAcentral is "partial 16S ribosomal RNA". It matches the Rfam family "Bacterial small subunit ribosomal RNA", at positions 28 to 507 of the family's 1533-position model. The record is from RNAcentral.
GAUGAACGCUGGCGGCGUGCCUAAUACAUGCAAGUCGAGCGAACAGACGAGGAGCUUGCUCCUCUGACGUUAGCGGCGGACGGGUGAGUAACACGUGGAUAACCUACCUAUAAGACUGGGAUAACUUCGGGAAACCGGAGCUAAUACCGGAUAAUAUAUUGAACCGCAUGGUUCAAUAGUGAAAGACGGUUUUGCUGUCACUUAUAGAUGGAUCCGCGCCGCAUUAGCUAGUUGGUAAGGUAACGGCUUACCAAGGCAACGAUGCGUAGCCGACCUGAGAGGGUGAUCGGCCACACUGGAACUGAGACACGGGCCAGAGUCCUACGGGAGGCAGCAGUAGGCAAUCUUCCGCAAUGGGCGAAAGCCUGACGGAGCAAGGCCGCGUGAGUGAUGAAGGUCUUCGGAUCGUAAAACUCUGUUAUUAGGGAAGAACAACUGUGGAAGUAACUAUGCCCGUCUUGACGGUACCUAAUCAGAAAGCCACGGCUAACUACGUG